RNAcentral lists this long non-coding RNA (250 nucleotides) under Carica papaya (papaya). Its description in RNAcentral is "long non-coding RNA (CPAP_LNC002741)". Lineage: Eukaryota; Viridiplantae; Streptophyta; Magnoliopsida; Brassicales; Caricaceae. The record is from RNAcentral.
UAGACAGUUGGACAAAACGGGCUACACAUUGGGCAACCAUUAGGUUUCCUUGGUGGAGAUCCCUUACACAAUAACUUAAAAGUACUAAACAAACAUCACGGAAUGAAUUAUCUGAAAGAAACAUGAGAAAUGACAAAAAUAAGGAAAACUAUAAAGUAUUUAGCAUCUACUUGCAGCCUUCUUGCAGAUCGGGCUCGGGAACCAGAUCCUCCUGAUCUGAAAUGGUUAAAUAAGGGGUGAGCUACACUAG